This 253-nucleotide ribosomal RNA is filed under the name uncultured bacterium. Its description in RNAcentral is "partial 16S ribosomal RNA". It matches the Rfam family "Bacterial small subunit ribosomal RNA", at positions 524 to 776 of the family's 1533-position model. The record is from RNAcentral.
UACGUAGGGAGCUAGCGUUGUUCGGAAUCACUGGGCGUAAAGCGCGCGUAGGCGGUUGUGUCAGUCCGGGGUGAAAUCCCGGAGCUCAACUUCGGAACUGCCCUUGAUACAGCACGUCUUGAGUCCGGAAGAGGUGGGUGGAAUUCCUAGUGUAGAGGUGAAAUUCGUAGAUAUUAGGAAGAACACCGGUGGCGAAGGCGGCCCACUGGUCCGGUACUGACGCUGAGGUGCGAAAGCGUGGGGAGCAAACAGG